AGAGUUUGAUCCUGGCUCAGGACGAACGCUGGCGGCGUGCUUAACACAUGCAAGUCGAACGGAAAGGCCUAGCUUGCUAGGUACUCGAGUGGCGAACGGGUGAGUAACGCGUGGGUGAUCUGCCUCGUACUUCGGGAUAAGCCUGGGAAACUGGGUCUAAUACUGGAUAGGACCAUGCUUUAGUGUGUGUGGUGGAAAGUUUUUUCGGUACGAGAUGAGCCCGCGGCCUAUCAGCUUGUUGGUGGGGUAAUGGCCUACCAAGGCGUCGACGGGUAGCCGGCCUGAGAGGGUGGACGGCCACAUUGGGACUGAGAUACGGCCCAGACUCCUACGGGAGGCAGCAGUGGGGAAUAUUGCACAAUGGGCGCAAGCCUGAUGCAGCGACGCCGCGUGGGGGAUGACGGCCUUCGGGUUGUAAACCUCUUUC
This 427-nucleotide ribosomal RNA is filed under the name Corynebacterium diphtheriae. RNAcentral's name for it is "bacterial SSU rRNA". It matches the Rfam family "Bacterial small subunit ribosomal RNA", at positions 8 to 437 of the family's 1533-position model. Lineage: Bacteria; Bacillati; Actinomycetota; Actinomycetes; Mycobacteriales; Corynebacteriaceae. The record is from RNAcentral.